This 253-nucleotide ribosomal RNA is filed under the name uncultured bacterium. RNAcentral describes it as "partial 16S ribosomal RNA". It matches the Rfam family "Bacterial small subunit ribosomal RNA", at positions 524 to 776 of the family's 1533-position model. The record is from RNAcentral.
UACGUAGGGCGCAAGCGUUAUCCGGAAUUAUGGGGCGUAAAGAGCUCGUAGGCGGUUUGUCGCGUCUGCCGUGAAAGUCCGGGGCUCAACUCCGGAUCUGCGGUGGGUACGGGCAGACUAGAGUGAUGUAGGGGAGACUGGAAUUCCUGGUGUAGCGGUGAAAUGCGCAGAUAUCAGGAGGAACACCGAUGGCGAAGGCAGGUCUCUGGGCAUUAACUGACGCUGAGGAUCGAAAGCAUGGGGAGCGAACAGG